GCCCCCUUAGCUCAGUGGAAUAGAGCAGCUGCCUUCUAAGCAGCGGGUCGCAGGUUCGAGUCCUGCAGGGGGUGCCA
RNAcentral lists this transfer RNA (77 nucleotides) under Caldilineaceae bacterium. RNAcentral's name for it is "tRNA-Arg". It matches the Rfam family "tRNA". Rfam says of the family: Transfer RNA (tRNA) molecules are approximately 80 nucleotides in length. Their secondary structure includes four short double-helical elements and three loops (D, anti-codon, and T loops). Lineage: Bacteria; Bacillati; Chloroflexota; Caldilineae; Caldilineales; Caldilineaceae. The record is from RNAcentral.